GGAACCGUGAGACAGGUGCUGCAUGGCUGUCGUCAGCUCGUGUUGUGAAAUGUGGUUAAGUCCCGCAACGAGCGCAACCCUUAUCCUUUGUUGCCAGCGGUCCGGCCGGGAACUCAAAGGAGACUGCCAGUGAUAAACUGGAGGAAGGUGGGGAUGACGUCAAGUCAUCAUGGCCCUUACGACCAGGGCUACACACGUGCUACAAUGGCGCAUACAAAGAGAAGCGACCUCGCGAGAGCAAGCGGACCUCAUAAAGUGCGUCGUAGUCCGGAUUGGAGUCUGCAACUCGACUCCAUGAAGUCGGAAUCGCUAGUAAUCGUGGAUCAGAAUGCCACGGUGAAUACGUUCCCGGGCCUU
Molecule: ribosomal RNA, 357 nt
Filed under: uncultured Enterobacteriaceae bacterium
Lineage: Bacteria; Pseudomonadati; Pseudomonadota; Gammaproteobacteria; Enterobacterales; Enterobacteriaceae
Description: bacterial SSU rRNA
Rfam family: Bacterial small subunit ribosomal RNA
Source: RNAcentral